Molecule: ribosomal RNA, 377 nt
Filed under: uncultured cyanobacterium
Lineage: Bacteria; Bacillati; Cyanobacteriota
Description: bacterial SSU rRNA
Rfam family: Bacterial small subunit ribosomal RNA
Source: RNAcentral
CGAAAGCCUGACGGAGCAACGCCGCGUGAGGGAGGAAGGUCUUUGGAUUGUAAACCUCUUUUCUCAAGGAAGAUAAUGACGGUACUUGAGGAAUCAGCAUCGGCUAACUCCGUGCCAGCAGCCGCGGUAAUACGGGGGAUGCGAGCGUUAUCCGGAAUUAUUGGGCGUAAAGCGUCCGUAGGCGGUCAUGUAAGUCUGCUGUUAAAGCGUGCAGCUUAACUGCAUAAGGGCGGUGGAAACUGCAUGACUUGAGUGUGGUAGGGGUAGAGGGAAUUCCCGGUGUAGCGGUGAAAUGCGUAGAUAUCGGGAAGAACACCAGUGGCGAAGGCGCUCUACUGGGCCACAACUGACGCUGAUGGACGAAAGCUAGGGGAGCG